Molecule: ribosomal RNA, 1346 nt
Filed under: uncultured bacterium
Lineage: Bacteria
Description: partial 16S ribosomal RNA
Rfam family: Bacterial small subunit ribosomal RNA
Source: RNAcentral
GACGAACGCUGGCGGCGUGCUUAACACAUGCAAGUCGAACGGAAAGGCCCUGCUUUUGUGGGGUGCUCGAGUGGCGAACAGGUGAGUAACACGUGAGUAACCUGCCCUUGACUUUGGGAUAACUUCAGGAAACUGGGGCUAAUACCGGAUAGGAGCUCCUGCUGCAUGGUGGGGGUUGGAAAGUUUCGGCGGUUGGGGAUGGACUCGCGGCUUAUCAGCUUGUUGGUGGGGUAGUGGCUUACCAAGGCUUUGACGGGUAGCCGGCCUGAGAGGGUGACCGGCCACAUUGGGACUGAGAUACGGCCCAGACUCCUACGGGAGGCAGCAGUGGGGAAUAUUGCACAAUGGGCGGAAGCCUGAUGCAGCAACGCCGCGUGCGGGAUGACGGCCUUCGGGUUGUAAACCGCUUUCGCCUGUGACGAAGCGUGAGUGACGGUAAUGGGUAAAGAAGCACCGGCUAACUACGUGCCAGCAGCCGCGGUGAUACGUAGGGUGCGAGCGUUGUCCGGAUUUAUUGGGCGUAAAGGGCUCGUAGGUGGUUGAUCGCGUCGGAAGUGUAAUCUUGGGGCUUAACCCUGAGCGUGCUUUCGAUACGGGUUGACUUGAGGAAGGUAGGGGAGAAUGGAAUUCCUGGUGGAGCGGUGGAAUGCGCAGAUAUCAGGAGGAACACCAGUGGCGAAGGCGGUUCUCUGGGCCUUUCCUGACGCUGAGGAGCGAAAGCGUGGGGAGCGAACAGGCUUAGAUACCCUGGUAGUCCACGCUGUAAACGGUGGGUACUAGGUGUGGGGUCCAUUCCACGGGUUCCGUGCCGUAGCUAACGCUUUAAGUACCCCGCCUGGGGAGUACGGUCGCAAGGCUAAAACUCAAAGGAAUUGACGGGGCCCCGCACAAGCGGCGGAGCAUGCGGAUUAAUUCGAUGCAACGCGUAGAACCUUACCUGGGUUUGACAUGGAUCGGGAGUGCUCAGAGAUGGGUGUGCCUCUUUUGGGGUCGGUUCACAGGUGGUGCAUGCCUGUCGUCAGCUCGUGUCGUGAGAUGUUGGGUUAAGUCCCGCAACGAGCGCAACCCUUGUUCACUGUUGCCAGCACGUUAUGGUGGGGACUCAGUGGAGACCGCCGGGGUCAACUCGGAGGAAGGUGGGGAUGACGUCAAGUCAUCAUGCCCCUUAUGUCCAGGGCUUCACGCAUGCUACAAUGGCUGGUACAGAGAGUGGCGAGCCUGUGAGGGUGAGCGAAUCUCGGAAAGCCGGUCUCAGUUCGGAUUGGGGUCUGCAACUCGACCUCAUGAAGUCGGAGUCGCUAGUAAUCGCAGAUCAGCAACGCUGCGGUGAAUAAGUUCCCGGGGCU